This 406-nucleotide ribosomal RNA is filed under the name uncultured bacterium. Its description in RNAcentral is "partial 16S ribosomal RNA". It matches the Rfam family "Bacterial small subunit ribosomal RNA", at positions 30 to 526 of the family's 1533-position model. The record is from RNAcentral.
AUUGAACGCUGGCGGCAGGCCUAACACAUGCAAGUCGAACGAGUGGCGGACGGGUGAGUAAUGUCUGGGAAACUGCCCGAUGGAGGGGGAUAACUACUGGAAACGGUAGCUAAUACCGCAUACCAUCGGAUGUGCCCAGAUGGGAUGAGCUAGUAGGUGGGGUAACGUCUCACCUAGGCGACGAUCCCUAGCUGGUCUGAGAGGAUGACCAGCCCAACUGGAACGGAUACAGGGGCCAGACUCCUACGGGAGGAAGCAGUGGGGAAUAUUGGACAAUGGGCGCAAGCCUGAUGCAGCCAUACCGAGUGUAUGAAGAAGGCCUUCGGGUUGUAAAGUACUUUCAGCGAGGAGGCGUUACUCGCAGAAGAAGCACCGGCUAACUCCGUGCCAGCAGCCGCGGUAAUAC